CCUACGGGUGGCAGCAGUGGGGAAUAUUGGGCAAUGGGCGCAAGCCUGACCCAGCAACGCCGCGUGAAGGAAGAAGGCUUUCGGGUUGUAAACUUCUUUUCUCAGGGACGAAGCAAGUGCCGUUACCUGAGGAAUAAGCCACGGCUAACUAGGUGCCAGCAGCCGCGGUAAUCCGUGGGUGGCAAGCGUUAUCCGGAUUUACUGGGUGUAAAGGGCGUGUAGGCGGGACUGCAAGUCAGAUGUGACACCCACGGGCUCAACCUGUGACCUGCAUUUGAAACUGUGGUUCUUGAGUACUGGAGAGGCAGACGGAAUUCCUGGUGUAGCGGUGAAAUGCGUAGAUAUUAGGAGGAACACCAGUGGCGAAGGCGGUCUGCUGGACAGCAACUGACGCUGAGGCGCGAAAGCGUGGGGAGCAAACAGGAUUAGAUACCCGAGUAGUC
This 443-nucleotide ribosomal RNA is filed under the name uncultured bacterium. RNAcentral's name for it is "partial 16S ribosomal RNA". It matches the Rfam family "Bacterial small subunit ribosomal RNA", at positions 338 to 795 of the family's 1533-position model. The record is from RNAcentral.